GAUGAACGCUGGCGGCGUGCCUAAUACAUGCAAGUCGAGCGAACAGACGAGGAGCUUGCUCCUCUGACGUUAGCGGCGGACGGGUGAGUAACACGUGGAUAACCUACCUAUAAGACUGGGAUAACUUCGGGAAACCGGAGCUAAUACCGGAUAAUAUAUUUAAACGCAUGGUUCAAUAGUGAAAGACGGUUUUGCUGUCCCUAAUAGAUGGAUCCGCGCCUCAUUAGCUAGUUGGUAAGGUAACGGCUUACCAAGGCAACGAUGCGUAGCCGCCCUGAGGGGUUGAUCGGCCACACUGGAACUGAGACACGGUCCAGACUCCUACGGGAGCCAGCAGUAGGGAAUCUUCCGCAAUGGGCGAAAUCCUGACGGAGCAACGCCGCGUGAGUGAUGAAGUUCUUCGGAUCUUAAAACUCUGUUAUUAGGGAAGAACAAAUGUGUAAGUAACUAUGCACGUCUUGACGGUACCUAAUCAGAAAGCCACGGCUAACUACGUG
This 497-nucleotide ribosomal RNA is filed under the name uncultured bacterium. Its description in RNAcentral is "partial 16S ribosomal RNA". It matches the Rfam family "Bacterial small subunit ribosomal RNA", at positions 28 to 507 of the family's 1533-position model. The record is from RNAcentral.